This 377-nucleotide ribosomal RNA is filed under the name uncultured bacterium. RNAcentral's name for it is "bacterial SSU rRNA". It matches the Rfam family "Bacterial small subunit ribosomal RNA", at positions 523 to 898 of the family's 1533-position model. The record is from RNAcentral.
AUACGUAGGGGGCGAGCGUUGUCCGGAAUUAUUGGGCGUAAAGCGCGCGCAGGCGGUCCACUAAGUCUGAUGUGAAAGCCCCCGGCUUAACCGGGGAGGGUCAUUGGAAACUGGUGGACUUGAGUGCAGGAGAGGAGAGUGGAAUUCCCGGUGUAGCGGUGAAAUGCGUAGAGAUCGGGAGGAACACCAGUGGCGAAGGCGGCUCUCUGGCCUGUAACUGACGCUGAGGCGCGAAAGCGUGGGGAGCAAACAGGAUUAGAUACCCUGGUAGUCCACGCCGUAAACGAUGAGUGCUAGGUGUUGGGGGGAGCAAUCUCCUCAGUGCUGAAGUUAACACAUUAAGCACUCCGCCUGGGGAGUACGGCCGCAAGGCUGAA